RNAcentral lists this long non-coding RNA (207 nucleotides) under Lathyrus oleraceus (garden pea). RNAcentral's name for it is "Pisum sativum (pea) long non-coding RNA (PSAT_LNC032553)". Lineage: Eukaryota; Viridiplantae; Streptophyta; Magnoliopsida; Fabales; Fabaceae. The record is from RNAcentral.
GGGGAUCCGAAAUAAACGGAACCCGCUGAUAAACCACGGACAGAACUCUGGCGUCCCAGAAAUAAAUGUCCAUAAUCCAUAGUCACCAUCAGUACCAAGAGUCACCAACUGUACCUGUUAAAAUGAUCAAACCCUUCCCCACUCACGGGUGUCAUCUAGGCCAGGGUAAGGUCGAUAGAAACGCAGCAUAAAUAACCUUUCGCAGAA